Molecule: ribosomal RNA, 213 nt
Filed under: uncultured bacterium
Lineage: Bacteria
Description: partial 16S ribosomal RNA
Rfam family: Bacterial small subunit ribosomal RNA
Source: RNAcentral
UACGGGGGGGCAAGCGUUGUUCGGAAUUACUGGGCGUAAAGGCGUGUAGGCGGCCAACUAAGUCCGACGUGAAAUCCCCAGGCUUAACCUGGGAACUGCGUCGGAUACUGGAUGGCUUGAAUCCGGGAGAGGGAUGCAGAAUUCCAGGUGUAGCGGUGAAAUGCGUAGAUAUCAGGAGGAACACCGGUGGCGAAGGCGGGACAUCCCGUGGAC